AGAGUUUGAUCCUGGCUCAGAUUGAACGCUGGCGGCAGGCCUAACACAUGCAAGUCGAGCGGUAGAGAGAAGCUUGCUUCUCUUGAGAGCGGCGGACGGGUGAGUAAUGCCUAGGAAUCUGCCUGGUAGUGGGGGAUAACGUUCGGAAACGGACGCUAAUACCGCAUACGUCCUACGGGAGAAAGCAGGGGACCUUCGGGCCUUGCGCUAUCAGAUGAGCCUAGGUCGGAUUAGCUAGUUGGUGAGGUAAUGGCUCACCAAGGCGACGAUCCGUAACUGGUCUGAGAGGAUGAUCAGUCACACUGGAACUGAGACACGGUCCAGACUCCUACGGGAGGCAGCAGUGGGGAAUAUUGGACAAUGGGCGAAAGCCUGAUCCAGCCAUGCCGCGUGUGUGAAGAAGGUCUUCGGAUUGUAAAGCACUUUAAGUUGGGAGGAAGGGCAGUAAAUUAAUACUUUGCUGUUUUGACGUUACCGACAGAAUAAGCACCGGCUAACUCUGUGCCAGCAGCCGCGGUAAUACAGAGGGUGCAAGCGUUAAUCGGAAUUACUGGGCGUAAAGCGCGCGUAGGUGGUUUGUUAAGUUGGAUGUGAAAUCCCCGGGCUCAACCUGGGAACUGCAUUCAAAACUGACUGACUAGAGUAUGGUAGAGGGUGGUGGAAUUUCCUGUGUAGCGGUGAAAUGCGUAGAUAUAGGAAGGAACACCAGUGGCGAAGGCGACCACCUGGACUAAUACUGACACUGAGGUGCGAAAGCGUGGAGAGCAAACAGGAUUAGAUACCCUGGUAGUCCACGCCGUAAACGAUGUCAACUAGCCGUUGGAAGCCUUGAGCUUUUAGUGGCGCAGCUAACGCAUUAAGUUGACCGCCUGGGGAGUACGGCCGCAAGGUUAAAACUCAAAUGAAUUGACGGGGGCCCGCACAAGCGGUGGAGCAUGUGGUUUAAUUCGAAGCAACGCGAAGAACCUUACCAGGCCUUGACAUCCAAUGAACUUUCUAGAGAUAGAUUGGUGCCUUCGGGAACAUUGAGACAGGUGCUGCAUGGCUGUCGUCAGCUCGUGUCGUGAGAUGUUGGGUUAAGUCCCGUAACGAGCGCAACCCUUGUCCUUAGUUACCAGCACGUAAUGGUGGGCACUCUAAGGAGACUGCCGGUGACAAACCGGAGGAAGGUGGGGAUGACGUCAAGUCAUCAUGGCCCUUACGGCCUGGGCUACACACGUGCUACAAUGGUCGGUACAGAGGGUUGCCAAGCCGCGAGGUGGAGCUAAUCCCAUAAAACCGAUCGUAGUCCGGAUCGCAGUCUGCAACUCGACUGCGUGAAGUCGGAAUCGCUAGUAAUCGCGAAUCAGAAUGUCGCGGUGAAUACGUUCCCGGGCCUUGUACUCACCGCCCGUC
This 1395-nucleotide ribosomal RNA is filed under the name uncultured bacterium. RNAcentral's name for it is "bacterial SSU rRNA". It matches the Rfam family "Bacterial small subunit ribosomal RNA". The record is from RNAcentral.